This 425-nucleotide ribosomal RNA is filed under the name uncultured bacterium. RNAcentral describes it as "partial 16S ribosomal RNA". It matches the Rfam family "Bacterial small subunit ribosomal RNA", at positions 354 to 796 of the family's 1533-position model. The record is from RNAcentral.
GUGGGGAAUAUUGCACAAUGGGGGAAACCCUGAUGCAGCGACGCCGCGUGGAGGAAGAAGGUCUUCGGAUUGUAAACUCCUGUUGUUGAGGAAGAUAAUGACGGUACUCAACAAGGAAGUGACGGCUAACUACGUGCCAGCAGCCGCGGUAAAACGUAGGUCACAAGCGUUGUCCGGAAUUACUGGGUGUAAAGGGAGCGCAGGCGGGAGAACAAGUUGGAAGUGAAAUCCAUGGGCUCAACCCAUGAACUGCUUUCAAAACUGUUUUUCUUGAGUAGUGCAGAGGUAGGCGGAAUUCCCGGUGUAGCGGUGGAAUGCGUAGAUAUCGGGAGGAACACCAGUGGCGAAGGCGGCCUACUGGGCACCAACUGACGCUGAGGCUCGAAAGUGUGGGUAGCAAACAGGAUUAGAUACCCUAGUAGUCC